GUGAAAACACGACAGCUUGGCAUUUAUUAAUGAAUGACUGUGACUGGGUCACCUUAUUUGUAAUUGCAAAUCUGCCUUUCAACUGACUUGAUGCUAUCUUAUUUUGUUCCUUUCACUCUAUAGACGGCUGGACAUCCUUCUUGUACCUUGGCGCUAGCUGGAUGACGGGACCUCAUCAUGAUCAGUGUAUUGCUUGCCUAUGUCUACAAGAACCGUCACGCGUGGCCUGUGACAGCAAGCUUUUGUGGGCAGCAAGUGCUCUCCUACGAAGGCUGGCCUACUCUGGCAGCGGCGGCAAUCAUCUUCAAGAUUUAUCCAUGAUCACCUUUGCUGCUAUUUGUUACUCUUGUUGAUUACACUUUCUGCAUUUUUUCUAAUUUAUUAGGUAAUAAAGUAUGAGUAUGUGACAUGGUGUGAA
RNAcentral lists this long non-coding RNA (418 nucleotides) under Dermacentor andersoni. RNAcentral's name for it is "uncharacterized LOC126523697". The record is from RNAcentral. Lineage: Eukaryota; Metazoa; Arthropoda; Arachnida; Ixodida; Ixodidae.